Molecule: long non-coding RNA, 5604 nt
Filed under: Homo sapiens (human)
Lineage: Eukaryota; Metazoa; Chordata; Mammalia; Primates; Hominidae
Description: HSALNT0378142
Source: RNAcentral
AGGGUAAAUCAUUAUGGUGAGCACAGAAUUAUUCUGGGGUGCAAUAUGACACUUACUCUGAACCUGAGGGAAAAGGUCAUUUAAUCUGUUUUAGCUCCAGAUGCCUCUUCUAUAACUGCUAUCUCUAAAAUGGAGAUAACAAUACUUUCUACCUCACAGAAAUAUUGUAAAGAUUAAAUGAGAUAAUGAAUUUGAACCAUUUAGCCCAGUUCCUGGAAACAAAUGUUAGCUCCUAACAAUAAUAAAAAUAACAAUACAAUGCCUUGCCACCUAUGAAAACUGCUAAGUGGUUCUGGAAAUUUACCAACCUGCUUUCAAGAGGGGCUCUGACUCCGCUCAUGGUACACUUGUUUGAAAUUUUUCAAAAAGAAUUUAUCUGUAUGCUUAAAUGCUACAAGCAUCACACUUGGGUACUCUGGCCAGCAUCCUUAAUUUUAGGCUGGUUCUAGGUGAACGAAGCCCAUGGCCUUGGUUAACUAUCACAGCAGAAAAAUGGUAAGAAGGAAACUCGAUUGGAAGGAAUCUGUCCAGAUGUUUAUUUCCCUUCAUUUAGGUCCAUAUAACAUAUAGAUCAAAUGCUCAGAGCUAUUAGGAGCAGAGAAAAAUGCCAGAAUCGAUGCUGCAACACAUUUUGCGUUCACCCUGAAUUAAUGCCUCUAUAUAAAUGUUGUUGCUGAUUUAACUUCUUGUUAACGGCCUUAAAUGUUUGACCCGUAUCUUUGCCUGCUUGAAUACAGGAAAAUCUACAUCAUGGAUUUCCCUGUAGAGUCAUGAGACAGGAAUGUGCAAAGCCAAAAGAGACAGCUGGGAAGUGUAGCAGAAGUGAGUGACCCUGCCCUUCUUGGGAGGUCAUCCUUGGAGAAAAAGCUGACACCCUCACAUCACAAAAUGUAACUACCACCCAAGUGAGAUCUGUUACUCCUCACCAAAAAUUAAGGUGGAGUUUCUUUCUAAAGGAUAGAGAAAUUUUGGAGACUUGAUUUCUUUUUCUUUCUUCUGCCUUUGGGACAACUUCAAUGUAAUUACUGAAAGCAUGAAAAAAUCAACUUUGGGUUUUCAGACAUGUAUCUUAUUGUGACUGCCCAUUGUUUCCAAAUUUGAUUCACUGGAGAUGUUAGUGGGUGAUUCAUAAAAAAGAGAGAGACAUGGCAUGUUAGCCACGUUGGAUAUACACAAUACAUAUUUAUAUAUGAAAAGGUCUAAAAGUCCCACAGUAAAGCAAAAUUUUAAAAUUUGUACACAACCCUAUAUUUACUUAAUAUAUUUAAGUAAGAAACACCUUUUUUUUUCAGGUAACACCCUUGACGUCACGAUUUGUUUGGAUGCAAUUCUAUUUCAUGUUGAACCAUUAACAUGGAAUGGAAUAAAAUAGAAUGGCUAUAAUUUACUGAGUGCUUAAGGACAGUCUUUAUUAAAAGCAAUUGGAUUAAUAAUCUCUGAAUUGUCAUGAAUCUGCAAGUGUCCAGGAUUUCACAUGAAGAAGAUGAGAGAAGACAACUCAGAGCGUGGAGUGACUUCCCUUCAUUUUAAGUGAGCCAGUCCUCAGAAAAUUUCCUGGGUAUUAGUGUUUCUGCUCAAGACACGAGCUUAUUAGAAAUAAAAAAUAGUUUAUUAGAAAUAAGAAAUAGCUUAUUAGAAAUAAAAAAUAGCUUAUUAGAAUGAAAAUGAUGUUUAAAAGGACUAAUAACUUCUUAAGAUGAUGUAACUUUUAAUAGACAACAUGUCAACUGUGUUAGGUGCAUCUCUGUAAAAUAUUCUGAGAUGUGAAGCUUGUUAAUAAAAUUACAGCACAACUCAAUUUGACACAAAUGCCACAUGAUAUCAAAAAAACCUGAGAGCCUAUAGGACCAAGCAAAGUAUUUGUGCAGUACCCUUAACUAUUCAUCUCAUCUUUUCAUAUACAAACAAUACAAAUAAGAAGACUAGAGGAAAAUUAGAGAGCAAUUUCCAUUAGGGAUUGCCAAUAAAGACACAUCCCUGAUAGGAAAACAAAUCAAAACAAAACAAAACAUAUUCUGGUAUUUAAAGAGAAGUCCCAAGGAUGACAUUUUCCCUUGAUACGUAUCCUCAGCCACUCAGUGCUAAACUCUUUACCCCUGACUCGCCUCAGUAGUGAGACUUGGGUACUUCAUUAUUCAGGUCGCCUUUAUCAUCCUCCAGAAAGCUCAGGUUAGCAUGGGGGCAGGGGAGGGAGAUGUUCCUUAAAUGAAUGUCUGUGACGAGACCAGAAUUUGUGAUUAUACUUUGGUUUGAAGAAUAUCCAUGCAUCCUAUAAACACACUAUUGACAUAGCACCUACUUUUGUAAAGGUAGAGAUGAUACAGUUUUUGUAAAUGCUACUGUCUUCAGAAGGAUGAUGGAAACCUGAAGGUACUAUCCACAUCUAGCAAAUGUUAUCUUGGAAUCUUUUUCUUUAUAUCUUAUUCUUUUUCACCAAUAAGCAUGAAUCAUCUUCUCUUGCUGUUUCCUUUCCUUGUCUUUUUUAUUACAAAAUUAAAAAUUACUGAACAGUUGCCCAAAACACUGUAGAUUUCAUAUCUUGUUUGGGCUAAUUAUAUCAUCUGGCCUGCCAAAAUGGUUUCAUUAAUGAGCUUACAUUGCAGGAGCUUUCUAAUCAAUUCUUUGACACUAAAUGAAGGACCCCACCCAUAUUUAAGGAUCUGAAGCCUGAAGCAGAGAGCAGCUUCUAUGUGGAGGGUAGGUUGUUAGAGCUCUAGGCAAUCUGAUGCCUACAUCUCUCCCCACCUCUGCUGUUGUGGCUGCUUUGUUAUUACUUUGAAUUGUGGAAAGACUCUCUGUGGUUCCCCAGCCUCAAUUUUCUUCUUGGGUCCUAUGAUCUCAGACCUGUUGCUGGUAGUGGCUUCAAAACCAUUUGAGGAUUCCAUAUCUAUUCACAGACAAGGUGUUCCAGGCUACGCUAUGGAAGUCAACUUUGUGGGAUUGAAACGUUAAGCUGGAAUCCUUUCGACUUUUAUGAAUGCAAGAGCUUGUCAGGUGGAGAAGCCAUUCAGUGAACAUGAAGUGACAAAUAUGAGGAUGAAAGCCUAUAUAGUCAGGACAGCUAAGGAGACAGCUUCAGGAGGAUGCUCCACCAUUGAUGAAGGAAGGGUCAAGAGUGAAGAAGGGAUGCUCCAUGUGGCAAUGUGACACCAAUUUUCCACGACGGGGAGGAAAAAGUCCAGUAGUUGACAAUGAAUAGGAUGCCACAACCUCUUGAGUGAAAGGUAACCUGUAUGGUGGACUCUCAAUCUCUGUAUACUCAUAAGAGAUCCACAGGGGAACAUAAAGAGAGAAGUAAAAUGUGUUCAGAAGUUUAAGAUUCUCCAAGGUUUAAGCUGGUCAGUUGAUCAGUCAAAGGAUGAAGAUUCAGUUUUACAAGACAAGAAUUAAGAAGUUUUACUUACAUAUACGAAGUUGCAUUGGAUUACGUUUCAUUACCAUAAAAAUAGUCAUAAGACUAUCAAGUAGUUUAAUGAUAAUGUAGUCUAUAUUGUGUUCUGUAACCUUUACACAGCUUGUGCCUGAAUUGCUCCUUUGAAUCGUCACAAAGUCUCAUGAUAUAGGCAGGGCAGAUAUGAUGGGAAUUUUUUCAGUUGAGAAAACUGCAGUCUAGAGAGGUUAAAUGAGGCCCAGAAAGGCCAAGCCACAUAUCAAAAUACCUACAAUAGCCUGGCAGGUAUAUAAAUGUGUGAAUAAGCUUACCAUAAUAAAACAGGGAAUGAUGGGGCUUGAGGCAAAAUUUGAGAACAUAUGACCCAGCAAAAAGCAUUACAAUUCUAAAGGCUUAAAAAAACAUGUUGCCAAACAGUACAUGUUUGUGGGGGAAGAUUUCACUCUCAGAAAACCAAAUCACUCUUUCUUGUAGUCAGUGAAACUAGUCUCCUCUUCUGACUUUUUCAGCUCAACUGAAUUCUGUGAAUAGCUAUUCAAAUCUUUCUCUAUGUCAUAGUCUCUGCCCUCCAAGUGUUUAAAAUGUGAUUGGGCAUUGACAACAUGGCUAUCAGGUGUGAUUAUGUGGGUUGCACCUUGAGCACCUCUAGAAGAGAGAAGCCAUUCACAUUGCAAGCUAAGUGAAUUGAGUUGGGCAGUGCUCAAUACACAAUGGCCCCCAACUACCCUGGUUGGUUAUAUUCCUGGUAUAUAAGAAAAUUAAGUAAAGUAAAAGUCAUAAAAGAGUAGUAAGUGCUAGAAAAGCCAAAAGGAAAGAGUUUGCAGGCUAUUGGCGAGUUCCAUGCUCUUCGCUCUUUGGGCAAUGACUAAUCCUGCGUGACCCUGCUUCUUCCAUAAAGCCCCAGGCAAUGCAAGGAGUGUCAUAUGGACUUCUGUGAGCAUCUGUGAGGAUGCUACUCCUUCCAAAUCUGGAUUUCUUAGCUUCACAGUCAUUUUGUUCUUUCACCUUCUUCUCUUCUGGGUUCCUACCAAGCCUGGACUUCUGCAUUUCAAAUACUGGAUAAAUUUAAAAAAUGCAUUAAGGAGAAUGGGUUGGGGAAGGAACAAGCUCUGAUAAAUUACCAACGAGUCAUUUAUUAUGAUAUCCUCAUGAAGAGAAAAAAGAGGUCUACUCAGGAAAAAUGUUAGAGAUCUUUAGCUGUAUGUUCUCCUGAGAAACCUUCAUAAAAGAAGACUCAGUGGUGAGCAGCCCUGGGUUUACGGUCUUCUCAGGAUAACAUUUCAGUAAAGGUGAUUGAGAUAUAUCAGUUUAAAGGGCCCAGGACAAGAAACUUGUGGGCUCACUGACAUAUUAAGCAUUUAUUCAGUAGCUCAAUGGGUGGAUCAAAUGUAAGGUUAGGAAUGUUCUGCUCUGAUUGCCUAGGAGUUUCUUUCUCUCUCUUUCUCUCUCUCAAAUAAAAAGAGGAAAUGCUUGUCUUUUAAGUAUUCUGCUUCUCUUCCACAUAUGCAUAUAUAAUCAUAUUCCUAAAAUUACCAUAUUCCCUUUUCAAAUAAAGGAAGAAAACCUAGCUUGAAUUUUAAGAAAUCUUUUAUGAAAAUGGAUAAAUGUUUUGAAAAUAGCUGUGUUUAACAGCUUUAGACAGAUACAUUGCAGUUAGGCUGAUACAGGUCAGUUGGUAGGUCUCAUGUUGGGGAGAUAAUCAGUUUUAAGAUGAGUUUUUCCGGAAAAUCAAAACUGCCUUGGAAGCUCAUUCUCCACCUCCUUGCCCAUCCUUCCCAAAUCAGGAAACAUUUCCUAUCCUAUUACAAUAGUUAUCAGUUGGCUUCCUUAAUCUCAUUGUUUUGUGAACCCUAGAUUUUUAGGUUACUGAAACAGAGGGAAGUGAAAAAUGGUUUAGCAGUGACCAAGAAUAAAAUGCAAGCCCACAGGUGUCAUUUCAGGGUCUCCUAACUGUCCUCAACUCAUGAGAUUGACAUUACACUUUUUAAGUAAAGUUUCCACAAUUGCCUUUUCUUCACAAACACAUAAAAUUGUGUGUGCCUCUGAUAUGGUUUGGCUGUGUCUUCACCCAAAUCUCACCUUGAAUUGUAAUAAUCCUUACAUGUCAAGGGUGGGGUCAGGGUGAGAUAACUUAAUUGUGGGAGUGAUUUCCCCCAUACCAAUCUCAUGAUAGUGAAUAAGUCUCAAGAUAUCUGAUGGUUUUAUAAACAGCA